Non-coding RNA from Pteropus alecto (black flying fox), 119 nucleotides. NCBI's taxonomy places the organism in Eukaryota, Metazoa, Chordata, Mammalia, Chiroptera, Pteropodidae. The record is from Rfam.
GUCUAUGGCCAUGCCACCCUGAACAUGCCCAAUCCCGUCUGAUCUCAGAAGCUAAGCAGAGUCAGGUCUGGUUAAUACUUGGUUGGGAGACCAGCUAGGAAGACCGGGUGCUGUAGGUG